This 685-nucleotide long non-coding RNA is filed under the name Prunus persica (peach). Its description in RNAcentral is "long non-coding RNA (PPER_LNC002469)". Lineage: Eukaryota; Viridiplantae; Streptophyta; Magnoliopsida; Rosales; Rosaceae. The record is from RNAcentral.
AAAGAUUUAAGUUGUUCAUCCGAUUCAAGUAUUGCGAGUGUACGCUUAUGAGGGUCAUAGGUUGUUGUAUCUUGGAGGGUAGGACGCCAUUCAACCUUGCUACACCGAGACAUUGUCUCCAAGGGGCUAAAUCUACUCUUACGGAUAGUGAAUGACACGCAUCAACCUAAAACUAUUAUUCUACACGUAACAUUGGAUCUGUUCGAUCUAAUUACAAUCUUGUUGGCCAAGUAAGGUUUUUUCUUUGUAGAUCCUUUUUUAAUCUGCAGUAUGGACAAAGAUUUUAAUCGAUAGAAUUAUAAUUUAUAGUUUGAAUUUGAACCAUGAAAUAUGUAUUUUUUUUUUUUAAUGUGUGUUGUUUCCUAGCUUGAAAAUUGUGUAUUUCAAUUCAAUGUAGUUACUGGUUAUUCGUGUUUAUUUAUAUAUGUUUUGGGUGAGAUUUAUCAUUAGUUCUUAGCAUAACUUGUUCUCUUAAAUUCUAUUUUGAUAUGCAACUUGUAUUGAUUUGAUUAUCAAGCCCAAGUUGAGUAGGUCGUGUCUACAGGGCGGAACUGCGAAAGGGCUAAAUUGGGUUUGAACUAGGGUUAAUUGGUCCACCCCUUUAACGUGUGUUUUUUUUUAAAUAAAAAAGAAAAAGAAAAAAAGAAGAAGAGAUGCCACCACAUUAACAUGUUUUUCUUUUGAG